RNAcentral lists this transfer RNA (73 nucleotides) under Canis lupus familiaris (dog). It matches the Rfam family "tRNA". Rfam says of the family: Transfer RNA (tRNA) molecules are approximately 80 nucleotides in length. Their secondary structure includes four short double-helical elements and three loops (D, anti-codon, and T loops). Further hydrogen bonds mediate the characteristic L-shaped molecular structure. tRNAs have two regions of fundamental functional importance: the anti-codon, which is responsible for specific mRNA codon recognition, and the 3' end, to which the tRNAs corresponding amino acid is attached (by aminoacyl-tRNA synthetases). tRNAs cope with the degeneracy of the genetic code in two manners: having more than one tRNA (with a specific anti-codon) for a particular amino acid; and 'wobble' base-pairing, i.e. permitting non-standard base-pairing at the 3rd anti-codon position. RNAcentral also lists the same sequence under 1 other name. The record is from Rfam by way of RNAcentral. Lineage: Eukaryota; Metazoa; Chordata; Mammalia; Carnivora; Canidae.
ACCUGGCUGGCUCAGUUGGUAGAGCAUGCAACUCCGGAUCUGAGGGUCAUGGGUUCAAGCUCCAUGCUGGGUG